AUUUACGGAGCUAUAUCACACACGUCACUGGGAUGGCGCUUUUUCUUCCCACUCUUACGUCGAAUAAAAUGCUUAAACGCAAAUAAAUAAAAGGAACAGAUAACAAAAAGUGCAGCUUUUUCUGAGAAAAAUAUCAGUUGCGACGAGCUCGAUUAGUAGUCGGCGCGCUUAAAAUGGAGCUCGAACUAUAUAAGGUAUCGCGCCUCGUAAACGACCGUCCGUUUGCCAUGAGGAGAAAUGUUUAGCAUAUCUUGUACAUCAAAUGGUUGAUCUA
This is a long non-coding RNA of Pseudomyrmex gracilis, 274 nucleotides long. RefSeq lists it as uncharacterized. The record is from RefSeq and is a predicted model, not a curated record. The transcript is spliced from 3 exons. Lineage: Eukaryota; Metazoa; Arthropoda; Insecta; Hymenoptera; Formicidae.